AGUGAACGCUGGCGGUAGGCCUAACACAUGCAAGUCGAACGCCAGCACAGUAAACGUUUGCUCUUACGGGUGGCGAGUGGCGGACGGGUGAGGAAUACAUCGGAAUCUACUUUUUCGUGGGGGAUAACGUAGGGCAACUUACGCUAAUACCGCAUACGACCUAAGGGUGAAAGCAGGGGUUCAUCGGACCUUGCCCGAACGAAUGAGCCGAUGUCGGAUUAGCUAGUUGGCGGGGUAAAGGCCCACCAAGGCGACGAUCCGUAGCUGGUCUGAGAGGAUGAUCGGCCACACUGGAACUGAGACACGGUCCAGACUCCUACGGGGGGCAGCAGUGGGGAAUAUUGGACAAGGGGGGCAAGCCGGAUCAAGCCAUACGGCGUAGGGGAGGAAGGCCUUCGGGUUGUAAAGCCUGUUUGUUGGGAAGGAAGAGCGGGAGGUUAAUACCCCGCUGUUCUGACGGUACCCAAAGAAUAAGCACCGGCUAACUACGUG
Molecule: ribosomal RNA, 492 nt
Filed under: uncultured bacterium
Lineage: Bacteria
Description: partial 16S ribosomal RNA
Rfam family: Bacterial small subunit ribosomal RNA
Source: RNAcentral